GGUGUCUUCCUAUGUUGCCCAGGCUGGCCUCGAACUCCUGGGCCCAAGCGAUCCUUCCUCCUCGGCCCCCCAAAAUGCUGAAAUUACGGGUGUCAGCCACCACGCCUGGCCUACGUGAGUCAUCUUAACAGCUAAAUAAGCCUCUUGCCAGUUUUACAACCUAGGAAGGUUUUCCCUUGAGGGCCUUGAAGCCACCGACUCAAAAGUUCCCAUACAGAUAGGCCCUCUGACUGAGGAAAAUGUGUUCUUUCAUUCUCUUGAUUCUCCUGUAAACCUACUGGGAAGACACCUGUGUAAAUUAAAGACUACCUACCAUCA
Long non-coding RNA from Symphalangus syndactylus (siamang), 318 nucleotides. RefSeq lists it as uncharacterized. The record is from RefSeq and is a predicted model, not a curated record. NCBI's taxonomy places the organism in Eukaryota, Metazoa, Chordata, Mammalia, Primates, Hylobatidae.